RNAcentral lists this transfer RNA (75 nucleotides) under Thermoplasmata archaeon. Its description in RNAcentral is "tRNA-Met". It matches the Rfam family "tRNA". From Rfam's summary of the family: Transfer RNA (tRNA) molecules are approximately 80 nucleotides in length. Lineage: Archaea; Methanobacteriati; Thermoplasmatota; Thermoplasmata. RNAcentral also lists the same sequence under 2 other names. The record is from RNAcentral.
AGCGGGGUGGGGUAGCCAGGAUAUCCCGUCGGGCUCAUAACCCGAAGAUCAAUAGUUCAAAUCUAUUCCCCGCUA